UAGCCCUUCCACGUGUACAGUGGACGUGGGGUCAGGAAGUGCCUUCUGCAGCACCCCAAAGCCUUCUCCUCACAGCAGGAUUGGAUGCUCUACUCGUGACCCCGGUCGGGACCGUCAGUGAGUCUCAGCGGUCAAGCAGCAGGCCCGACAUGCGCUUUGCAGCACACUCACGUUCACAGGGCUAGGCUAUGAUAUGCACGCGGUUCAGACGCCAGGUACCUCCAGAGCGUAGCCCAGGGCUGAGCGUGGCCU
Molecule: long non-coding RNA, 252 nt
Organism: Tupaia belangeri chinensis (Chinese tree shrew)
Lineage: Eukaryota; Metazoa; Chordata; Mammalia; Scandentia; Tupaiidae
Exons: 3
Source: RefSeq, a predicted model, not a curated record